AGAGUUUGAUCCUGGCUCAGGACGAACGCUGGCGGCGUGCUUAACACAUGCAAGUCGAGCGAUGAAGCUUCCUUCGGGAAGUGAAUUAGCGGCGGACGGGUGAGUAACACGUGGGUAACCUGCCUCAAAGUGGGGGAUAGCCUUCCGAAAGGAAGAUUAAUACCGCAUAAUAUGAGAGAAUCGCAUGAUUUUCUUAUCAAAGAUUUAUUGCUUUGAGAUGGACCCGCGGCGCAUUAGCUAGUUGGUAAGGUAACGGCUUACCAAGGCAACGAUGCGUAGCCGACCUGAGAGGGUGAUCGGCCACAUUGGAACUGAGACACGGUCCAGACUCCUACGGGAGGCAGCAGUGGGGAAUAUUGCGCAAUGGGGGAAACCCUGACGCAGCAACGCCGCGUGGGUGAUGAAGGUCUUCGGAUUGUAAAGCUCUGUUUUCUAGGACGAUAAUGACGGUACUAGAGGAGGAAGCCACGGCUAACUACGUGCCAGCAGCCGCGGUAAUACGUAGGUGGCGAGCGUUGUCCGGAUUUACUGGGCGUAAAGGGUGCGUAGGCGGAUGUUUAAGUGGGAUGUGAAAUCCCCGGGCUUAACCUGGGGGCUGCAUUCCAAACUGGAUAUCUAGAGUGCAGGAGAGGAAAGCGGAAUUCCUAGUGUAGCGGUGAAAUGCGUAGAGAUUAGGAAGAACACCAGUGGCGAAGGCGGCUUUCUGGACUGUAACUGACGCUGAGGCACGAAAGCGUGGGUAGCAAACAGGAUUAGAUACCCUGGUAGUCCACGCCGUAAACGAUGGAUACUAGGUGUAGGGGGUAUCAACUCCCCCUGUGCCGCAGUUAACACAAUAAGUAUCCCGCCUGGGGAGUACGGUCGCAAGAUUAAAACUCAAAGGAAUUGACGGGGGCCCGCACAAGCAGCGGAGCAUGUGGUUUAAUUCGAAGCAACGCGAAGAACCUUACCUGGACUUGACAUCCCUUGCAUAGCCUAGAGAUAGGUGAAGCCCUUCGGGGCAAGGAGACAGGUGGUGCAUGGUUGUCGUCAGCUCGUGUCGUGAGAUGUUAGGUUAAGUCCUGCAACGAGCGCAACCCUUGUUAUUAGUUGCUACCAUUAAGUUGAGCACUCUAAUGAGACUGCCUGGGUAACCAGGAGGAAGGUGGGGAUGACGUCAAAUCAUCAUGCCCCUUAUGUCCAGGGCUACACACGUGCUACAAUGGUAGGUACAAUAAGACGCAAGACCGUGAGGUGGAGCAAAACUUAUAAAACCUAUCUCAGUUCGGAUUGUAGGCUGCAACUCGCCUACAUGAAGCUGGAGUUGCUAGUAAUCGCGAAUCAGAAUGUCGCGGUGAAUACGUUCCCGGGCCUUGUACACACCGCCCGUCACACCAUGAGAGCUGGUAACACCCGAAGUCCGUGAGGUAACCGUAAGGAACCAGCGGCCGAAGGUGGGAUUAGUGAUUGGGGUGAAGUCGUAACAAGGUAGCCGUAGGAGAACCUGCGGCUGGAUCACCU
This 1500-nucleotide ribosomal RNA is filed under the name Clostridium botulinum. Its description in RNAcentral is "bacterial SSU rRNA". It matches the Rfam family "Bacterial small subunit ribosomal RNA". The record is from RNAcentral. Lineage: Bacteria; Bacillati; Bacillota; Clostridia; Eubacteriales; Clostridiaceae.